RNAcentral lists this ribosomal RNA (390 nucleotides) under uncultured bacterium. RNAcentral describes it as "bacterial SSU rRNA". It matches the Rfam family "Bacterial small subunit ribosomal RNA", at positions 28 to 419 of the family's 1533-position model. The record is from RNAcentral.
GACGAACGCUGGCGGCGUGCUUAACACAUGCAAGUCGAGCGGUAAGGCCCUUUCGGGGGUACACGAGCGGCGAACGGGUGAGUAACACGUGGGUGACCUGCCCUCAGCUCUGGGAUAAGCCUGGGAAACCGGGUCUAAUACUGGAUAUGACUCCAUGACGCAUGUUGUGGGGUGGAAAGCCUUGUGCGGCUGAGGAUGGGCCCGCGGCCUAUCAGCUUGUUGGUGGGGUGAGGGCCUACCAAGGCGACGACGGGUAGCCGGCCUGAGAGGGCGACCGGCCACACUGGGACUGAGACACGGCCCAGACUCCUACGGGAGGCAGCAGUGGGGAAUCUUGCGCAAUGGGCGAAAGCCUGACGCAGCGACGCCGCGUGAGGGAUGACGGCCUGG